UUAGGAAUCUUCCACAAUGGGCGAAAGCCUGAUGGAGCGACACCGCGUGAAGGAUGAAGGCCUUAGGGUUGUAAACUUCUAAAAGAGGGACGAUAAUGACGGUACCUCUUGAGAAGCACCGGCUAACUCCGUGCCAGCAGCCGCGGUAAUACGGAGGGUGCAAGCGUUAUCCGGAAUCACUGGGCGUAAAGGGCGCGUAGGCGGUCUGUUAAGUCUGGCGUUAAAGCCUGGGGCUCAACCCCAGAUCAGCGUUGGAUACUGGCAGACUCGACGGUUGGAGAGGCGAGUGGAAUUACCAGUGUAGCGGUGGAAUGCGUAGAUACUGGUAGGAACACCCAUUGCGAAGGCAGCUCGCUGGACAACACGUGACGCUGAGGCGCGAAAGUGUGGGGAGCAAACCGG
Molecule: ribosomal RNA, 402 nt
Filed under: uncultured bacterium
Lineage: Bacteria
Description: bacterial SSU rRNA
Rfam family: Bacterial small subunit ribosomal RNA
Source: RNAcentral